AACGAACGCUGGCGGCAUGCCUAACACAUGCAAGUCGAACGAGACCUUCGGGUCUAGUGGCGCACGGGUGCGUAACACGUGGGAAUUUGCCUCGGGGUAUGGAAUAACUCAGGGAAACUUGAGCUAAUACCAUAUAAUGUCUUCGGACCAAAGAUUUAUCGCCCUGAGAUAAGCCCGCGUAGGAUUAGCUAGUUGGUGAGGUAAAGGCUCACCAAGGCGACGAUCCUUAGCUGGUCUGAGAGGAUGAUCAGCCACACUGGGACUGAGACACGGCCCAGACUCCUACGGGAGGCAGCAGUGGGGAAUAUUGGACAAAUGGGCGGAAAGCCUGAUCCAGCAAUGCCGCGUGAGUGAUGAAGG
This 360-nucleotide ribosomal RNA is filed under the name uncultured bacterium. Its description in RNAcentral is "bacterial SSU rRNA". It matches the Rfam family "Bacterial small subunit ribosomal RNA", at positions 29 to 414 of the family's 1533-position model. The record is from RNAcentral.